This is a non-coding RNA of Prunus avium (sweet cherry), 1175 nucleotides long. NCBI's taxonomy places the organism in Eukaryota, Viridiplantae, Streptophyta, Magnoliopsida, Rosales, Rosaceae. The record is from RefSeq and is a predicted model, not a curated record.
AAAUUAAGACCUCAAAUUAUCGCGAAAAGUAUAAUAAAUUCUAAACGAUGAUGAGAAACUCCACACCCUGUCACCCAUCACAGAGGAGAAAAUGCUGAAUUAGAACUCCAUGGACCCCACCACCUCACAGGCCCCCCCACAACACGAAUAAGAACAGCCUGUGAUGAAGCUGUGAACGCUACAUUUCACCUCACCACCUCCUUCUAAAAACAAAACAAAAACACAACGCAAAACCCAAAACACACAUUUCAUCAUUCUCUUCUCUCUGUUUUCUUCUUGAGCUCAAAUUUUGCAGAGCUUUCAAAACAGAGCCAACAGCAACAACAACUUGCUUCAGAUUUUCCAACCUUGCCCCCAAGCCAAUCACUCCCAGCGUCUCACAAGGCCUUCAAGAUCCAUUAACAGAGCAGCCAGGCCUGCGCAGGAGGCUCUCUUCUAUCUCCCUCAAGCUCCAGCCCAUCUCAUCCCCUGCAACAUCAUGGGCCUUGAGCAGAUCCAAAUCGGUUUCCGCCAUGGGAGAGUAUGCAGGAGGGUCCAUAAGAAAAUGGUGGCUCUGGGGUUGGACUUGGAUCCUCUCCAGAAAACCCAUCUUUGCUCAAGAUCUGGAGAUGAACGAGGAGGAGACUAAAGUUCUUGGCUUUGACAACAACGGUUUUGUGUUGAAGCUGUUCGAUACUAUCGAGAACGAUAUUUCGCCGACAAUUUCGGCGACAUUCUCGACAUUCGGACGAAAACUGUAUGGUUUGUGCCCAGAGUAUCGGCAUGUGAAAAAUAUCGGCGAUAAUUUCGAUUUUUAAGACAUUGUUCGAUACUAUCGAGAAUGAUAUUUCGCCGACAAUUUCGGCGACAUUAUCGACAUUCGGACGAAAACUGUAUGGUUUGUGCCCAGAGUAUCGGCAUGUGAAAAAAAUGAAAUUAUCUCCGAUAUUUCGGCGACAAUUUCGAUUUUUAAGACAUUGGUGUGAGAAUGGCCCUAAAUGCCCAUUGGACAUAUUUGGAAUUCCAUACAAGAGGGAAAUUACCUUAAGUUCUAUGGUGCUAUAAAACGUGCCUAUCCAGACAUCAAAAUAAUUUCAAACUGUGACGGAUCUUCUCAAAACUUGGAUCAUCCAGCUGAUUUGUUCGAUUUUCAUGUAAAUUUCAUAACACCACCACUUGUAUUACACUUGCUAAUG